UUGAUGGAUUUCUGGUACCCCAGAAUAAUUACAGCAAGAUUUGCAUGCAAUAAAAAAAGUUAAUAUUGAAGCCUUUGUGAAAAAAUGCACCAGCAGUCAGCCUCUAGAAGAUCAGUACAGCUGAGUUUUUCAAGAUCUAAGUUUUAAGGCAUAUGAGGGUUUGUGAGACAUCCUAAAUCAGACAGGCAUUUCUUGGACUAGAAGUAGACUACUGUCAGCUGAGUGAUAUAGUGAACAAUAGCUUCUGUGUUCAUCCAGGCUGCUAGUCUUCAAACAUGGAGUUUUGCUGCCGCCUCUAAUAACCCCAUAGUGCUACUUUUUCCAGAAACGCCUUCAGCAGGCUCCAUUUGUUCAUAGUUCUGUUUUUGGAAUCACAAUGGCGAUAUGGAACAUCACAUAUACACAACAGUAUGUGGACAACAAGAAAGCUUCUGUUUGAACAAAAACACAGCAACACAAACAAAAACAUCAGUAACCAGUUGCAGGUUCUCAUUCAUGAUGUUACAUAGAAAACCAUCUCAAGGAAAUUUCAUUAUCAGCUGCCAAAACAAGUGAAGAAAUGUCGCUGACAAAGUCGUUUUCAGGUUUCCGAACAACGUAAGCCCCCGGUAAUAAUCUGAAGUCCAUCGCACUUACUAAAAGAUCCAGGAAUGUUUGCUACAGGGACAUGCAUGAACACCCAAAAACAGGUAUGAUUUGUCGCAACGCCUGAGGUAAAACAUGAAUCUUUCCAUUGGAAUUCAGUAGCAUAAGUUAUAAGAGCAAAUAGUUUACCAUCCACUUUAACCAAUGACAGAUAAUUUGUAAAUAAUUCCAUGUCAAUAAUUUAUCUCUUGCUAACAGCCUGCAAUGUGAUUUGCAAGAAAACUGUUUGGUAGCCGUGUUUACUUUAUGGUUGGGUUUAAGUUUAGUUUUUAACUCCACAGAAAGCUAGUUG
Molecule: long non-coding RNA, 937 nt
Organism: Daphnia carinata
Lineage: Eukaryota; Metazoa; Arthropoda; Branchiopoda; Diplostraca; Daphniidae
Exons: 4
Source: RefSeq, a predicted model, not a curated record